This 386-nucleotide ribosomal RNA is filed under the name uncultured bacterium. RNAcentral describes it as "bacterial SSU rRNA". It matches the Rfam family "Bacterial small subunit ribosomal RNA", at positions 28 to 414 of the family's 1533-position model. The record is from RNAcentral.
GACGAACGCUGGCGGCGUGCUUAACACAUGCAAGUCGAGCGGUAAGGCCCUUUCGGGGGUACGACGAGCGGCGAACGGGUGAGUAACACGUGGGUGACCUGCCCUCAGCUCUGGGAUAAGCCUGGGAAACCGGGUCUAAUACUGGAUAUGACUCCAUGACGCAUGUUGUGGGGUGGAAAGCCUUGUGCGGCUGAGGAUGGGCCCGCGGCCUAUCAGCUUGUUGGUGGGGUGAGGCCUACCAAGGCGACGACGGGUAGCCGGCCUGAGAGGGCGACCGGCCACACUGGGACUGAGACACGGCCCAGACUCCUACGGGAGGGCAGCAGUGGGGAAUCUUGCGCAAUGGGCGAAAGCCUGACGCAGCGACGCCGCGUGAGGGAUGACGG